Molecule: ribosomal RNA, 402 nt
Filed under: Stephanodiscus hantzschii
Lineage: Eukaryota; Bacillariophyta; Thalassiosirophyceae; Thalassiosirales; Thalassiosiraceae
Description: partial small subunit ribosomal RNA
Rfam family: Eukaryotic small subunit ribosomal RNA
Source: RNAcentral
GCUUGUCUCAAAGAUUAAGCCAUGCAUGUCUAAGUAUAACUCUUUUACUUUGAAAACUGCGAACGGCUCAUUAUAUCAGUUAUAGUUUCUUUGAUAGUCCCUUACUACUUGGAUACCCGUAGUAAUUCUAGAGCUAAUACAUGCAUCAAUACCCAACUGUUCGCGGAAGGGUAGUAUUUAUUAGGUAUAGACCAACCCUCCUCGGAGGUGCUUUGGUGAUUCAUAAUAACUAGUCGAAUCGCAUGGCUUUUUGCCGGCGAUGGUUCAUUCGAAUUUCUGCCCUAUCAGCUUUCGACGGUAGUGUAGUGGACUACCGUGGCAUUAACGGGUGACGGAGAAUUAGGGUUCGAUUCCGGAGAGGGAGCCUGAGAAACGGCUACCACAUCCAAGGAAGGCAGCAGG